This 3348-nucleotide long non-coding RNA is filed under the name Lupinus angustifolius (narrow-leaved blue lupine). Its description in RNAcentral is "long non-coding RNA (LANG_LNC000732)". The record is from RNAcentral. Lineage: Eukaryota; Viridiplantae; Streptophyta; Magnoliopsida; Fabales; Fabaceae.
UUGUUGAGAUUAACGGCAUCAAAAGCAACAUUGCAUCUUCUUCUCAUUUGAGUUGGCGUUAUCCGAUUGGCCUGCAAGUGAUCGAAGUCUUGAAGGAUUGAGUUAGGGUUACGGAUCUUGUCGUUGAAGAAGGUGAGAGCUUGGGUGCAGUAGUUGAGUUGAUCGAGAGUGAGAGAGAUUCUCGGUGGAAAAUCGGGUGAGAAAUUGAACUCCGACUCGGAGGGGUUGCCGGAGGAGGAGGAGGCCAUGGUGGAUGAGCGGCGGAGACGGAGACGGUUAGAGAGGUGGUUCCCCAGCACAGCGACUUUGUUAAUCCCAGACUUAGAUUUUCUUUGUGUAGCGUGAUUCCACUAUCAUAACAAAUAGGAAUGGCAAUGAAUACCCGAUCCACGAUCCGUGGUUAUUGGGUUCGAGUAAUACAUUACCCGGACUUGCUAUCCCUAAUAGUACACUAUAAUUGAUCAAUGCUCUAUUAUUAUUAGUAGUAUCAGUAUCAACAUAGAAAAGAAUGUAUCAAUGCUCUUUUAUUUUGAUUUUCUUUAAUCUUAUUGCAAAUCUUCUUUUGAUGUUUUAUGGUAAAUUAUAUGUAUUUUUUCAAACCUGUUAUCAUUUAUUUAAGUAUUUUUUUACAUUAUUGCUGUAUAUGCAUAUACUGCAAGCAAAGUGCAAUCAUCUGCUAUUACUAAGUGAUAAAUCAUUGCACCAGCCCAACUGAGUUAUAAAGAAUAUAAUGUUAACCAAAUUCACUGUGACACAUAAUGAGUUUAUUAUAGAGAAAGUUUCAUAGAAUUAAUGUAAAAAAUGAUGAAUUAUGUAUCCAAGUGAACCACAUAUAUAUUUCCAUACAAUGCUAAUCCAGAAUCUAGUUUCCUCAUGGCUAACCAACAGAUAAAGGAAUGGUUGGGUAUAUUGAAUUUCCCCCAAAAAAAAAACAAUGAGGUUAAAAUUUGUGCCUUGACCGUGUAAAUUUUUUUACAUUUUCAGCACAUCAUCCACUAUUGAUUUGUAAUACUUUUGUUUGAAAGUCAAUAAUAGUUAACAUAUGAAUGGUGUAGAUUCACUGAGAGUGUUAGUCUGUUAGUAUAUACAUAUUAAAUCCAACAUUAUUUGGCCAAUGUACUAUGGUAGACUAACCAAUAAGCCAAUUGCAAGCUGAAUGGAUAGUAUAGUCUUGAUGACAUCUUUUCAGAAACUAGUUAACAACCCUGGAAAUAGAUUUAAUACUUGAAAUCAAUGUAUUAGAACUAGUGGAUCAAGAAACAAUUUCUUAUGGUGAACUUAUGAAGUGACAAAUGAGAAACAUACUGUAAUAUAAAUACAGUGCAAAUAUUCAAACAAAUUAUGCAUAUAACUCAAGAAAUAGUAAUAGCAAGCAGAUAGGAGAAACAAUCUAAAGCAUGUCCUUUUACUCUGGUUUAUACUUUAUACAAUAGAAUAGCAUAAAAGGGGAAUAGCAUAAACUGGACUUUUCAUUGAUUCAAGGUAAACCUUAACAUUUUGCUUAGGUUUUACAAAAAUAUUCAUCACAUGCUGGACAAGCAUGUAGAAAAUAACAACAACCCUAGGAAUUGGCUAAAAAAAUGAAGAAUAACAGGGCUAAGUUUAUAAACUAGUAUUGGCUCUUUUCUAUAUACAGUGCUAACUACUUGCAUAAAUGCAUAAAUUCCCAUUUUUGUAUAAUUUUUUGAGAAAUCAAAUCAAAAUAUUAAGGAAGAGAAAUAAUUUGACACCCUUAUGCUAGGGAUUUUGUCGGGUAGAAUCAUCUUCGCUAUAACUGCAAGGAUCGGAAGAUUUCCGAGAACACCAGUGAUCUGGAACACUAAGAAAAUAUGUAGACAUAAACUUUCUGAAUCUCUUUUUGUACUCUAUUGGAGAGAUUACAGUUGGUAAGACAUUCUUGGGCACAACAAGUGAUGACUUCAUCCAUGUCUCAAGAUGCUUGUCCCAGGUAUACUGCCUCAGAUAAUCGAUAAUCCCGCAAACUAUCUCGCCCUUCUUUGAAUCUACUCCGACAAGUAAGGAGUAAUCCAUCACAUUUACUGACUGAAUAUUGAGCAAACGGUGAAUCAUAUAAGAUAGUCAGGAAAUAAAUUCCAAAAAAGAACAAAUUUCAAGGAAAAUAUGAACACAAGGGCAACAAAUUCAACAGCAGAUAUAUCAAUGUGACAAUUUAGGCUCAAAGAUAGAAUGCUUUUGAUGCAGACUUACAUUGAGAAAACUUGUAUCAUUCCAAAUAGCCCGUUCAAGAUGGCACUUUGCUUUAUGACUGACAUAUAAUGGAGAAGAGUUCAUGUCAUUCACAAAGUUCUGAUCCAAAAGAACAUCUCCAGCACCAUCAGCAGCAGAUUUGUACCGAGCAAAAAGAGCACCUUUAAGAUCAUACUGGCGAGUAAUAUUGCGAUUGUAAGUAAAUGGUGCAACUCUAUUUCGUUUAUAUUUCUCUCUCUCGUAACAAUUUUUUUCCAUUUUUAAUGUUGAUUUACAACUUUAAAAACGUUGCUUAUUUAACUUACCAUUGCGAUAUAAGAACAUGCUUAUUUCGCUAAGAACUGUUUUUUUAUUACCAUUGUGGGUGCUCUUAGGGAACUUGUUAACAAAACCCUAAAUAUAUUAUUACCUCAAUGAAGCUUGCAUUGAUAUAGCCAAGUGCUGCAGGUCUAUAAUCUGUGCUUGAUUUGAGAACAACCCUAUUGUUGUCAACUAAAUCAAGAGAAAUUAAAACAAAAUAAAUAAAAAAAUGCAGAACAUUAAAUCUUAAUAAUAAAAUUAUGAAGUGUUGGAGAGUGAAAAUUUUACAUGGAACUACAUCAGUAUAACGAUUUUUGUUGAGAUUAACGGCAUCAAAAGCAACAUUGCAUCUUCUUCUCAUUUGAGUUGGCGUUAUCCGAUUGGCCUGCAAGUGAUCGAAGUCUUGAAGGAUUGAGUUAGGGUUACGGAUCUUGUCGUUGAAGAAGGUGAGAGCUUGGGUGCAGUAGUUGAGUUGAUCGAGAGUGAGAGAGAUUCUCGGUGGAAAAUCGGGUGAGAAAUUGAACUCCGACUCGGAGGGGUUGCCGGAGGAGGAGGAGGCCAUGGUGGAUGAGCGGCGGAGACGGAGACGGUUAGAGAGGUGGUUCCCCAGCACAGCGACUUUGUUAAUCCCAGACUUAGAUUUUCUUUGUGUAGCGUGAUUCCACUAUCAUAACAAAUAGGAAUGGCAAUGAAUACCCGAUCCACGAUCCGUGGUUAUUGGGUUCGAGUAAUACAUUACCCGGACUUGCUAUCCCUAAUAGUACACUAUAAUUGAUCAAUGCUCUAUUAUUAUUAGUAGUAUCAGUAUCAACAUAGAAAAGAAUGUAUCAAUGCUCUUUU